GUCACGAAGAGCGAGGAAAACUUGGGAAGGACAAUAAUUUUCCUCCGUGGAAAAUAAUAAUCGCAUCAGAUAAACCGAAACAAUAGUCAUCUGCGAGCGGACGAGAUGGCUAGGAAUGAAAAAACCCUCACCGAAAACGGUCUAAUUUGACACCUUCCUUCCGCUAUCCGCUGCCGUAAAAUCUCC
This is a long non-coding RNA of Ochlerotatus camptorhynchus, 186 nucleotides long. RefSeq lists it as uncharacterized. The record is from RefSeq and is a predicted model, not a curated record. The transcript has 3 exons. NCBI's taxonomy places the organism in Eukaryota, Metazoa, Arthropoda, Insecta, Diptera, Culicidae.